Molecule: ribosomal RNA, 465 nt
Filed under: uncultured bacterium
Lineage: Bacteria
Description: partial 16S ribosomal RNA
Rfam family: Bacterial small subunit ribosomal RNA
Source: RNAcentral
GACGAACGCUGGCGGCGUGCUUAACACAUGCAAGUCGAACGGAAAGGCCCUGCUUGCAGGGUACUCGAGUGGCGAACGGGUGAGUAACACGUGGGUGAUCUGCCCUGCACUUCGGGAUAAGCCUGGGAAACUGGGUCUAAUACCGGAUAGGAGCCAUUUUUAGUGUGAUGGUUGGAAAGUUUUUUCGGUGUAGGAUGAGCUCGCGGCCUAUCAGCUUGUUGGUGGGGUAAUGGCCUACCAAGGCGGCGACGGGUAGCCGGCCUGAGAGGGUGGACGGCCACAUUGGGACUGAGAUACGGCCCAGACUGCUACGGGAGGCAGCAGUGGGGAAUAUUGCACAAUGGGCGCAAGCCUGAUGCAGCGACGCCGCGUGGGGGAUGACGGCCUUCGGGUUGUAAACUCCUUUCGCUAGGGACGAAGCUUUUUGUGACGGUACCUAGAUAAGAAGCACCGGCUAACUACGUG